Non-coding RNA from Phrynosoma platyrhinos (Desert horned lizard), 71 nucleotides. The record is from the annotation of a GenBank genome assembly. NCBI's taxonomy places the organism in Eukaryota, Metazoa, Chordata, Lepidosauria, Squamata, Phrynosomatidae.
GCCAGCAUGGUAUAGUGGUUUGAGUGUUGGACUGGGACUCUGGAGACCAGGGUUUGAUUCCCUGCUUGGCC